This 358-nucleotide ribosomal RNA is filed under the name uncultured bacterium. RNAcentral describes it as "partial 16S ribosomal RNA". It matches the Rfam family "Bacterial small subunit ribosomal RNA", at positions 338 to 709 of the family's 1533-position model. The record is from RNAcentral.
CCUACGGGUGGCAGCAGUGGGGAAUAUUGGGCAAUGGAGGAAACUCUGACCCAGCAAUGCCGCGUGAAUGAAGAAGGUCUUCGGAUUGUAAAGUUCUUUAGUCAGGGAAGAAUAAAAUGACGGUACCUGAAGAAUAAGCUCCGGCUAACUACGGGCCAGCAGCCGCGGUAAUACGUAGGGAGCAAGGGUUGUUCGGAAUGACUGGGCGUAAAGGGGGGGUAGGCGGUUAUACCAGUUAGAAGUGAAAUACCCAGGGCUUAACGCGGGUGCUGCUUCUAAAACUGUAAGACUUGAGUGCAGUAGAGGUAAGUGGAAUUCCUGGUGUAGCGGUAGAAUGCGUAGAGAUUAGGAGGAACAC